Molecule: regulatory RNA element, 127 nt
Organism: Treponema pedis str. T A4
Lineage: Bacteria; Pseudomonadati; Spirochaetota; Spirochaetia; Treponematales; Treponemataceae
Rfam family: TD-1 RNA
About the family: non coding RNA found in Treponema denticola
Source: Rfam
UUUUAACUGCCGAGUUUGUCUUUCGGCAAACAUCGUAUAUUAUAUGCCGUUUCUCACUCCGUUGUAAAACGGCGGAAAUUCAUCAAUGCUCGAUUUUUGAUAAAAUCUGCGCUUGAUGAAUUUAUAG